AGAGUUUGAUCCUGGCUCAGAUUGAGCGCUGGCGGCAUGCUUUACACAUGCAAGUCGAACGGCAGCACGGGCUUCGGCCUGGUGGCGAGUGGCGAACGGGUGAGUAAUGCGUCGGAACGCGCCGAGUAGUGGGGGAUAACGCAGCGAAAGCUGUGCUAAUACCGCAUACGUACUGAGGUAGAAAGUGGGGGACCUUCGGGCCUCACGCUAUUCGAGCGGCCGACGUCUGAUUAGCUAGUUGGUGGGGUAAAGGCUCACCAAGGCGACUAUCAGUAGCGGGUCUGAGAGGAUGAUCCGCCACACUGGGACUGAGACACGGCCCAGACUCCUACGGGAGGCAGCAGUGGGGAAUUUUGGACAAUGGGCGCAAGCCUGAUCCAGCCAUGCCGCGUGUCUGAAGAAGGCCUUCGGGUUGUAAAGGACUUUUGUCCGGGAGCAAAGCCUACUUGUUA
This 452-nucleotide ribosomal RNA is filed under the name uncultured bacterium. RNAcentral describes it as "bacterial SSU rRNA". It matches the Rfam family "Bacterial small subunit ribosomal RNA", at positions 8 to 462 of the family's 1533-position model. The record is from RNAcentral.